GCCAGCAGCCAUAUCACUCUACAACUCACAACUGGCAACCCACUGAAGCUCAGUAGGUGUGAGCAGGUGUGAUCCAGGUCAGUACCUAGAUGGGAGACCUCCUGGGAAAAACUAAGGUUGCUGCUGGAA
RNAcentral lists this ribosomal RNA (129 nucleotides) under Lepisosteus oculatus (spotted gar). Lineage: Eukaryota; Metazoa; Chordata; Actinopteri; Semionotiformes; Lepisosteidae. The record is from RNAcentral.